This 762-nucleotide ribosomal RNA is filed under the name uncultured bacterium. Its description in RNAcentral is "bacterial SSU rRNA". It matches the Rfam family "Bacterial small subunit ribosomal RNA", at positions 8 to 744 of the family's 1533-position model. The record is from RNAcentral.
AGAGUUUGAUCCUGGCUCAGGACGAACGCUGGCGGCAUGCCUAAUACAUGCAAGUCGAACGCUGAAGCACUCUGCUUGCAGAGUGCGGAUGAGUGGCGAACGGGUGAGUAACACGUGGGAAAUCUGCCUAGGAGUGGGGGAUAACAUUCGGAAACGGAUGCUAAUACCGCAUAUCUUUUUGAACCGCAUGGUUCUUAAACGAAAGACGGCUUCGGCUGUCGCUCUUAGAUGAUCCCGCGGCGUAUUAGUUAGUUGGUGGGGUAAAGGCCUACCAAGACCAUGAUACGUAGCCGACCUGAGAGGGUGAUCGGCCACACUGGGACUGAGACACGGCCCAGACUCCUACGGGAGGCAGCAGUAGGGAAUCUUCCACAAUGGGUGAAAACCUGAUGGAGCAAUGCCGCGUGAAUGAAGAAGGUCUUCGGAUCGUAAAGUUCUGUUAUUAGAGAAGAACAAGUCAAGGAGUAACUGUCUUGACUUUGACGGUACCUAACCAGAAAGUCACGGCUAACUACGUGCCAGCAGCCGCGGUAGUACGUAGGUGACAAGCGUUGUCCGGAAUUAUUGGGCGUAAAGGGAGCGCAGGCGGUUGGAAUAGUCUGAUGUGAAAGCCCCCGGCUUACCCGUGGAAGGUCAUUGGAAACUGUCCAACUUGAAUACAGAAAAGGUAAGUGGAUUUCCCAGUGUAGCGGGGAAAAUGCGUAAAAUAUUUGGGAGGAACCCCCAGUGGCGAAAGGCGACUUUACUGGGUUGGUAAUUGAA